UACGUAGGUGGCGAGCGUUGUCCGGAAUUACUGGGUGUAAAGGGCGUGUAGGCGGGACUGCAAGUCAGAUGUGAAAUACCGGGGCUCAACCCCGGGGCUGCAUUUGAAACUGUAGUUCUUGAGUGCAGGAGAGGAAAGCGGAAUUCCUAGUGUAGCGGUGAAAUGCGUAGAUAUUAGGAGGAACACCAGUGGCGAAGGCGGCUUUCUGGACUGUAACUGACGCUGAGGCGCGAAAGCGUGGGGAGCGAACAGGAUUAGAUACCCUGGUAGUCCACGCCGUAAACGAUGGAUACUAGGUGUAGGAGGUAUCGACCCCUUCUGUGCCGGAGUUAACACAAUAAGUAUCCCACCUGGGGAGUACGGCCGCAAGGUUGAA
RNAcentral lists this ribosomal RNA (376 nucleotides) under uncultured bacterium. Its description in RNAcentral is "bacterial SSU rRNA". It matches the Rfam family "Bacterial small subunit ribosomal RNA", at positions 524 to 898 of the family's 1533-position model. The record is from RNAcentral.